AGAAACCAAAAUCGUGUCAAACUGCAACUCACUUUCUAAAAAUCCAGGAAAAUAAGGAGAUGAUGUGUUUCCUCCAAUCUCAUGGCCCCAAAAGGGAGGACUUUCUUCAGGAGGACUGUGGCUUACCGAAUGUACUGAGUGGCAGGACCCUUCCCUAUUUACCAGAAAUGUCUGAGCCUCUUUCCUCUUCAUCUUCGAACGUCGUUGGCCAUGUUCUUAAAGGAAUGUACCAGUAGGUUCAUUAUUCCCAUCUCAUCCUCCGCAGCUGUUGCUGAGGAACAGCCAGAAAACAGACAGUAAAAGUCUUUUGAAUUUGUUAAAACUUGAGCUGCUGAUGAAAACACCCCCCGAGAGCCCAGAAUUGGACUAAUCGAAAUUAGAGAGGAAAAUACUCAAAAGAAGUUUUCAGACUCGGGCAUCUAACGCUAGGAGCCUUAAAUACGUGGCCUAGUUUUCAAAAGCACUGAGCACUCUCAGCUCCCCGUGAAGCUAGUUCAAGUUGUGGGAGCUCAGAACCCUGAAAAUUGAGCCAUUACAAUAUAGGUGUCUAAUUUUGAAAAUGUUGACCGUAGAUCUCUGGAGUCCAAACCCCUAAGUGCCAGUACAAGAUUAUUCCCUACCAUAUGAGUUGAAUUUUCAGAGAUGCUAAGCACCUGCAGUGGCAUGUAAAGUCAAUGGGAACUCCAAGGAUGGGGUUAUCACAGAUUUUUAAGGCACGCACUGAAAAAAAUUCCUACAACUGACUAUGUGUUUUCAACUAAGGACAAGUUUUUUAAAGAUACAAUCAGAGUUUAUAACAGUAGAAGACUGUAUAUGUAGGUAGUCUGGAAUAGUAAAACUGAAAUUUUAAAACCAUUAAUCAAUUUUUGUACGCUCAACAGAAGAAAAAUUUCUUCCAUAUAACUUUAGAUAUUUACUCACAAUAUUCGAUGUCAUCUUUAUACCAAGUAACUUUUCAAUUUAAAAAAAAUCAAAACUGUUAUCACAGAAUAAUUGGGGAUCUGUUAGGAAAUUUUAGAGACUUAGUAACUACUUCCCGAAAACCUCAAUACCUGUCUCCAGAUUUAGUCUCACUUUAUUGUAAACUCUGAUUGUGAAUUAGCUGGUUUCUAUGAAACUUCCUUGUUUGCUACAUAUGGAGCAAUAUAUAACACAUAAAAGGAUUGAUCCUCUGCAAUCAAUUCAUAUAUCCCUCUCUCUUUGAAAUAAAUGGGAGAGAUUUUAUUCAUGUGUAGAUAUUGUAGAAUCAGGGUUACCGGUAACAAGUACUUACGAAUGUGAUCUAUUUUCCCCCUAUGUGAAUUAUGUCUUUGCAUUUUGCUUUUAAUAAAGGGUCUCCUUCCUCUCAUUGAAUAUUUUUGAGUAUUAAGCUCUGAGAGCUACUGUUCAAUGGAUGAUGGAUCAGGUCCUAAACUUCUUACCUUUUAAUCAGCUAAACAAUGUUCUUAUAUCAAGAUUUUUUAUAUUCAGGUUGUAUUUUCCCCCAGAGUGAGGAACAGAGUCUGAAUAAGAAUUAUAACUGCAUAUAUUUAAAAUAAAUUAUUCUGUAUUAUAUUGUAUGUUGAAUAUUCACUUCCUGAUUUCCAUAUAUCUCCUCAGUGUGGGAUAUUGAAUAAGGUCUUUCUUUCAGAGUUUUACCCAAAAUAGAACUAUUUUCCUUAAUUUGGUUUCUUUUCUAUUAUAUUUCAUCCGUCUUUACUAUUGUUUGCACUUUAACUCUAGCUUGGAUGAAGGAUGUCAGGAGUCAUUCCUAGGCUUAGGGUCAGAGAACCUGAACCUACCAGCAGAAUUAGGCUUUUCUAGGGAUUUGCAAUAUUUUGGAAAUUUUAGUUUGUUUUUUAAAAGAAAAGAUCAUGGUGAAUGUUUCAGAGACCCUAUAUACAAUAAAUCAUCUUGAUUUUCUUAUACCACCUGCAUGAUAGAACUCAGGAAUACUGUAUCACUUUAUUAAACUGAGAAAUAAGAAUUAAGGACUAGAUCUAGCCCCCACCGAAGUCAAUGGAAAGCCUUUCAUUGAUUUCAAUGGCCUUAAAGCCUGGAAUACAACUAAAAACGUACAAUGAGGCAGCAUAAUAAUAGAGAUUUUAACUUGUAUUAGUGAUCCUUUGUACUGGAGUCAAAUCAGUUGUGGACUUCACAGAUAGAAGUGUAAAGAGUACAGACGCAAGAUGUACAAUAAGAACAUAGUACUGUCCUUAUUUCCAUGGGAUCUGGGUAUGUGAGGGCAGAACUUGAACCUUGAACUUUUGAUUUGUAUCACUUUUUAAAUAUUAUGCUCAA
Chrysemys picta bellii (western painted turtle) is the source of this 2280-nucleotide non-coding RNA. NCBI's taxonomy places the organism in Eukaryota, Metazoa, Chordata, Testudines, Emydidae. The record is from RefSeq and is a predicted model, not a curated record.